UGACCUAUUUUUUGAAUCAAUUAAUCAAUUGAUGUCUAAGGAAUGUUUCAAGUAUGGUGGUAAUUUAAUUGAUUUCGUUGCUGGUCUGGCCAAUUUUAUUGAUGUCUAAGAAAAGCAAUGGAAGGACUCCCACCAAUCUUAACACUUUUCUGAUCAAUUAAAUUAGUUUGAAUCUUGAAUGAAGGUAGCACAGUAUUUUAAACACUGCUAGGGGCCUUCCUGUUAGAUGUGUGCCCUAGAUGCC
This 244-nucleotide long non-coding RNA is filed under the name Elaeis guineensis (African oil palm). RNAcentral's name for it is "long non-coding RNA (EGUI_LNC040088)". Lineage: Eukaryota; Viridiplantae; Streptophyta; Magnoliopsida; Arecales; Arecaceae. The record is from RNAcentral.